This 259-nucleotide long non-coding RNA is filed under the name Equus caballus (horse). RNAcentral describes it as "lncRNA (ENSECAG00000056949.1)". Lineage: Eukaryota; Metazoa; Chordata; Mammalia; Perissodactyla; Equidae. The record is from RNAcentral.
CUACACUGUCAAGGAAGAGGCCUCAGAGGGAAAGCCUCCCCCAGCUGCACCACCUCAGGAAGCAGACCCCAGCUACCCCAGCGGGGAAGCCAGUCAGAUCAGAGCCACCUCUGACGCCCUCUAACACAUCCAUCAGCAAGAGAAGACUCAGUUCUUCAAAAGAAGAGGGAUCUCCUAAGCACUCGUGGAGAUGGUCCUCAGGGCCCAGCCAGAGUCACUGCUGCCAUGGUUGCUUCCCAGGGGCCUGGACAAGCAAGAG